RNAcentral lists this ribosomal RNA (417 nucleotides) under Bifidobacterium pullorum. RNAcentral describes it as "bacterial SSU rRNA". It matches the Rfam family "Bacterial small subunit ribosomal RNA", at positions 1 to 420 of the family's 1533-position model. The record is from RNAcentral. Lineage: Bacteria; Bacillati; Actinomycetota; Actinomycetes; Bifidobacteriales; Bifidobacteriaceae.
GUGGAGGGUUCGAUUCUGGCUCAGGAUGAACGCUGGCGGCGUGCUUAACACAUGCAAGUCGAACGGGAUCCCUGGCGCUUGCGCCGGGGUGAGAGUGGCGAACGGGUGAGUAAUGCGUGACCAACCUGCCCCAUGCACCGGAAUAGCUCCUGGAAACGGGUGGUAAUGCCGGAUGCUCCAGAUGACCGCAUGGGAUUCUGGGAAAGCUUUUGCGGCAUGGGAUGGGGUCGCGUCCUAUCAGCUUGUUGGUGGGGUGAUGGCCCACCAAGGCUUCGACGGGUAGCCGGCCUGAGAGGGCGACCGGCCACAUUGGGACUGAGAUACGGCCCAGACUCCUACGGGAGGCAGCAGUGGGGAAUAUUGCGCAAUGGGCGAAAGCCUGACGCAGCGACGCCGCGUGCGGGAUGGAGGCCUCGG